This 253-nucleotide ribosomal RNA is filed under the name uncultured Turicibacter sp. RNAcentral's name for it is "partial 16S ribosomal RNA". It matches the Rfam family "Bacterial small subunit ribosomal RNA", at positions 524 to 776 of the family's 1533-position model. The record is from RNAcentral. Lineage: Bacteria; Bacillati; Bacillota; Erysipelotrichia; Erysipelotrichales; Turicibacteraceae.
UACGGAGGGUGCAAGCGUUACUCGGAAUCACUGGGCGUAAAGAGCGCGCAGGUGGUUAAUUAAGUCUGAUGUGAAAGCCCACGGCUUAACCGUGGAGGGUCAUUGGAAACUGGUUGACUUGAGUGCAGAAGAGGGAAGUGGAAUUCCAUGUGUAGCGGUGAAAUGCGUAGAGAUAUGGAGGAACACCAGUGGCGAAGGCGACUCACUGGACUGUAACUGACGCUGAGGCUCGAAAGCGUGGGGAGCAAACAGG